GACGAACGCUGGCGGCGUGCUUAACACAUGCAAGUCGAACGAGAGCGUAGAGAAAGCUUGCUUUUUCUACAAUCUAGUGGCAAACGGGUGAGUAACGCGUAAACAACCUGCCCUACGGAUGGGGACAACAGCUGGAAACGGCUGCUAAUACCGAAUACGUUCCGAAAGUCGCAUGACUAUCGGAAGAAAGGAUGGCCUCUAUUUAUAAGCUAUCGCCGGAGGAGGGGUUUGCGGCUGAUUAGCUAGUUGGAGGGGUAACGGCCCACCAAGGCGACGAUCAGUAGCCGGUCUGAGAGGAUGAACGGCCACAUUGGAACUGAGACACGGUCCAGACUCCUACGGGAGGCAGCAGUGGGGAAUCUUCCGCAAUGGGCGAAAGCCUGACGGAGCAACGCCGCGUGAGUGAAGACGGCCUUCGGGUUGUAAAGCUCUGUUAUACGGGACGAAUAAUCUUGUGGUUAAUACCCAUGAGAAGUGACGGUACCGUAAGAGAAAGCCACGGCUAACUACGUG
Molecule: ribosomal RNA, 513 nt
Filed under: uncultured bacterium
Lineage: Bacteria
Description: partial 16S ribosomal RNA
Rfam family: Bacterial small subunit ribosomal RNA
Source: RNAcentral